CCAACAUGGAUCUUCGGACGGAGAUCUCCUGAAUUAUGUUUAGAGGCUGUGCUCUCGUGAGCACUUUUAGAAGGACCCAGACGAUCCUUUACCGAAACACGAGGCAGUGACGAGCUAACAGCCAUCGCCUGCCCUUCUGGCGUACCAUCCCUACUUCUCAUCAUCUUCCGAAGUAGGUUAAACAAUUGUGAUUGAAAAUUUUAAUGACACUAGAACUAAAAGCCCUCCUUCUAGUGCCAAUGUUAACGCCAAGAUCUUCUGCCACGUCCCAAUCACGUAAGACGCCCUGAUCCUGCACAGUAAACACGAUAAACACCACAAGCUUGACGGCUGUUCCGUCGGGGGAUAGCUCAAGCGCGAGAGUCAGUAUACGUGUUCACAAGGUUAACAAUGGAGGAUGAAAUGCCUAGUGUAUUGAGAGAGAUCAUAAUUCUUAGUCGUGUGUAUGUUGUUAUCGAUGUGAAUCUUAAC
Molecule: long non-coding RNA, 471 nt
Filed under: Panax ginseng (ginseng)
Lineage: Eukaryota; Viridiplantae; Streptophyta; Magnoliopsida; Apiales; Araliaceae
Description: long non-coding RNA (PGIN_LNC014061)
Source: RNAcentral